Termitomyces sp. T32_za158 is the source of this 92-nucleotide non-coding RNA. Lineage: Eukaryota; Fungi; Basidiomycota; Agaricomycetes; Agaricales; Lyophyllaceae. The record is from the annotation of a GenBank genome assembly.
UCGGAUAUGGUGUAACGGCUAACAUUGCCGCCUUUCAUUCCAGAAUACUUCUAUGAACGCGGCAGCCCGGGGUUCGAUUCCCCGUAUCCGAA